Molecule: transfer RNA, 75 nt
Filed under: Alphaproteobacteria bacterium
Lineage: Bacteria; Pseudomonadati; Pseudomonadota; Alphaproteobacteria
Description: tRNA-Thr
Rfam family: tRNA
About the family: Transfer RNA (tRNA) molecules are approximately 80 nucleotides in length.
Source: RNAcentral
GCCGUUGUAGCUCAGGGGUAGAGCAGCGCUUUCGUAAAGCGAAGGUCGGGGGUUCAAUUCCCUCCAACGGCACCA